AAGAAAGAGAAGAAGAAGGAGGUCUUCCUCAUCUUCCUUAUCUUCUCCUUGGUUGGAGCUUCUUGGAGAGGUAAGCUUCUAAGCUCUCUCAUGGUGGAUUUCUAGAGAUAGGUUUGAUUGCUCUAGAAAUAAAGUUUUGUAUUAUCUGAGGGCGUAGUACCUGCCAGUAUAGGUAUAGAGCCAUAUGGCACUAGCGAAGUGCUAGAAGUAAUCUAUGGCGAGAAGUGAGACUCGCAGUAGAGAUAGAAGUGGCGAAACGACUCUCAGAGCAAUAUGAAUAGUAAAUUGCGAGAGUUGAGCCAUGAUGCUUAUGAGAACACCCGAGAGGUUCGAAAAUUUUGGAUGUCAUUCCAGUAGAUCGAACAGUGAAAGUAGCAUCACCGUUGAGAGAACGGUCGAUUAGUGACCAAGUUUGAGCACGUGGGCCUAGUAGUACCUCAAGGUGAGGUAGGCGGUUGUGCUCGUGCGGCCGGUGUGCAUAGGCAAGAUUGCCUAACGCUGGACUUCGUGUGGAACGCUGUAGAGGCGUAGAGCGCUCGAGUGUAGAUACCCGUAGAGUACGGAUGUGGAUUCAGCCAAAAGAGUGUAUUGGCAGUAGCACUUGAGUAUUGCUAGGUGUGAAGCGUGCCAUGGAUCACUCGUGGGACUGGUGACUCGCACUAGGUGCAUAGGGGUCGAUAUUGGUACAUGUGACUUGGUAGAGUAUGUCGUGUAGGACGACGACGGUGGGUAGUGCUUGGGGACGACCCGUGCCUGGACCAUUUGUGGACUGUGGAGCCUGGGCCCUUUGGGCAGGCGCAGUCAGCUGUGAGUGACAGCGGCCCGGUACCUACGGGUAGGGCAGAGUUCUGGUCAGGACGGUAGUCCGAGCUUAGACCCGGGAGCGUGGAAUGCCACGUGAUAGAUUGUGUGACCGAUGGUACACCGAGUAUGGUUGUGACCCAACCCGAGGACUUGACGUGGUUUGGGGUCUUAGUUGCUCCUGGUUGGAGUGUGUGCGAAUUCCCAAGUGAGAAUUUCGCCCGAUGAUGAUUGGGUCUGCAUUUGCGAGCGAGAGACGCUGCGUGUUGAGACAAGUUUAGACGGUAGGCCUACGUAGGAUUGGUGGCCUUUGGUCCACCUGUGGAGACCGACGAGAGCGAUUUGGCAGAUAGCCUUAUCGAGGAGUUUGACUUGAAUUCACGAACGAAGUGCUCGCGUGUGCUCGUUGCGAGAAUAGUUUGAUGUUGAUCGUGGCAUGUGGUAUCAGAUGAUGAAGUACUCCUUGUGAGACAUCAAUCUAGUGGAAAGCCACGUGAUGUUGGAGACUAUGCUCGUAAGCGAACUGAGACUUGAGAUGUGCCGAAGUGGGCCAUCUCGCGUUAGAGCUGAAGGUCAGUGCGAAAUUAGAGCACUCACGACGGAGCGAUGCAUCGGUGAUAUUGCUUCUAAGCAAUGUCGGUGAUCGAAUCAGAAUGUAUUCCCUGAAGGGAAGGUAAGUGUAAAGAAGAGUUCUUUAUGUAUCGAGAGGCGAGUAAUGUUGGAGCGCGUAGAGUCGUCGAGAAUCGACUUGUGCUGCCUCUAUGACUUGCAAGACCCGUGAUGCACUUUUGUAUCACAUUUUGCAAAUGUGUUUAGGAUUAAACCCACGUCCUUCAGUAAGAGCCGCUUCUGGAAUCACGAUUGUGUGAAGCCGCUUUGGAGUGGGAGAAAGAGUUGGUACCCUCAAUUGCUCACGGAGCUGGAUUGAGGCGUGGUUUGAAUUUCGCGAACGAAAUUCUUUUUAAGGGGUGGAGAAUGUAACAUGCUAGAUUUUGAUAAAAAAAUAAAAGUAUAUAAAAAUAGUGUGAGAAGCUAUUUUUAUUGCACUUAGAGAAGUAGUACAUAAGUCAGAAAUGACUUAUGCUGAAAUCGGAAUGAAAACAGAAGAUCUAGAAUUUUCUGUUGGAAACGGGACAGAUAAAUUAGAAGAAAAUGCACAGUCUUAGAAAAUUAUGAAAAUUGGAAGAUAAGUCAGAAAUAUUUUUAUGAGGCUAGAUUUAAAGUUUCAUAUUUUUCUGACACCCGUAAAGUGAGGAAUAAAAUUCAAUAGCUAUUUGAUAAAGAUUACAGUUCGGUACAGUUUUCGGUGACCAAACGGAGUCGAAACUGAAAACUUAAAAUGUAUUCUUGUUCAGUACGUUAAACUGAGCCCGCCUGUCAAAUUUGAGCGAAAACGGACAUCCGGAAGGGCUCCAACGAAAUUUAUCAGAUUUCAGGCUGCCCGUAGUGAAUAGUGGUAGUUGAGGGGCAAAAUGGUAAAAUGGGAU
This 2288-nucleotide long non-coding RNA is filed under the name Ananas comosus (pineapple). RNAcentral describes it as "long non-coding RNA (ACOM_LNC005514)". The record is from RNAcentral. Lineage: Eukaryota; Viridiplantae; Streptophyta; Magnoliopsida; Poales; Bromeliaceae.